Non-coding RNA from Apodospora peruviana, 73 nucleotides. Lineage: Eukaryota; Fungi; Ascomycota; Sordariomycetes; Sordariales; Lasiosphaeriaceae. The record is from the annotation of a GenBank genome assembly.
GCUCGAAUGGUGUAGUGGCUAUCACGUCAGUCUCACACACUGAAGGUCCGCGGUUCGAUCCCGCGUUCGAGCA